UACAAAAGAGUAAAAUACAAGGACCACUUCCUCUCCUCCGAGGUCCACCGAAACCUGCAAUGCUAAAUGAAACGUAAAGCUAAUUACUAUAACAAUUAGAUACUUUUUGGUAAUGAACUUUUAGGUCUUAAUAAUCUCAACCAUUUAGUUCACAAGCACAAAAGGUUCUCUAUUCACACUUCCUCGAAGUUCAUCCAUGCACAAUAACAGUUAUAAUUGUUUCAACUGCUACAUGCACUACAUUUUAUCCCCUUCACAAUAGAAACUUCACACUGUAAAAGCAAUCACUACAAUCUCCUAUAAGGAAGAUGAUUAUACUUCUAAACUAUUAACCAGCAACAAUCCACAUUGAUAAACAUACAGAAUCUGUCACUAUUACUUUUCCAGUGUUUGUAGCAAGAAAAUUUCAUUUAUCCCAUAUAGCAUCCAAUUAGUUCAUCUCUUAGUCUUUAAUAGUGUAAUAUAUCUAAAAAUCUGGACUUAAUAGAGUCAAUAUGUUCAAAUCCUUUUAUAGAUCAAUUUGGGGAAGCCUCUUUCUAGAUUUGAGCCCUAAUUUAGCAAAAAAUCAAGUCCUGAUUGGAACAACACAAAAAUGAAGAAAUAAACUUCCCUGAACGGUGGAGGAGGGCAGGGCUCGCUCCGGCAGACAGCGGGUUGAGAUUUGAGCUGGGGCUGCGCGGCAGUGUCUGGAAACUGACGGUGGUGACAGGAAAAGGGCGAAGGUGACUGGGCGGCGGGAGACGGUGGCAGGAGGUGUUUGGCGCUGCUGGUAUGGUGUAAAUCGCGCCGACUGGUGGCUCUUCCUCGGCGUUCAUGAUAGGAACGAUGGGUGGCGCACGAAGCCGCCUUGUGUAGAUGCCGGGAGAUGGUGGGGGGCAGCGGUUCUGGAGUGGGUCGCGGUGGUGUUGCGUUGCGACGAAGGCGGCUGGGCUGGUGCUGUGGUGGUCGGACAGGUGGUGCGGCCGAAAGAGGGAGUUCAGCGGCGGAUUGAAGCUAGGGCACGGCGGCGGCAAGGAGCCGCUGUUGUCGCCGGAGUAUGGAGAGAAGAGGGGGCUUUGGGCUGCGCUCGGAGGCGGCCGGCCUUCCCGCCGUGGCGGUCGAACGGGAAGUCGGUAGGGAGGUGGCUGUAGAUUAUAGAUCUAGGAGUUUCAGGGCGUGGUGUGGUGUGCGUGCAUUUAAGUCAGAGAGAAAGGAGAUUAAGAGGGAGACGAGGGUGGGCGGCAGCGGCGCGACGCAGCGACGGGCCGGCGCGGGCAGCGCCGCCGGCGGCGGAGUGGAGAGGGGAGAGAGAGAGUCGAGAGAGACAGGGAGGACGCAGGAGGAGGCAGGGAGAUUAGAUGUGAGAGAUGAAGAAAACUAGGGCUUCUAGUUUCUAAAUUUCCUAAAUAAAAUCUUUUUUUUUUCUUUUUUUCAGUUUUAAUAUUCAAUUUUGGUAUUUAGAUUUCUAAUUUAGAUUUUAUAUAAGUGUUACUUAAUGAUAAAACAAAAAAAUGUUAUGAUUUUUUUAUUUUUCAAAGUCUAUAUCUAGAAAUAAAUUCAGAUUUUAGGAUAAAGAAUUUAUAUGUUAUUUUUUAAUAUAAUAUAAUAUAAUAUAAUACUAUAAUUUUAAAAAAAUUAAUAAAAAAAAUUAUACACAACAGUUUUUAGAUACGCUCAAACAUAACGGUUCCAAAACCGUUGUAAAUGACUCUUAUACAUAACGGUUCUUUAACGUUAUGAAUAAACCGUUAUAAAAGAUGGUCAUAGAUAACGGUGGCUU
RNAcentral lists this long non-coding RNA (1759 nucleotides) under Salvia miltiorrhiza (redroot sage). RNAcentral's name for it is "long non-coding RNA (SMIL_LNC001411)". Lineage: Eukaryota; Viridiplantae; Streptophyta; Magnoliopsida; Lamiales; Lamiaceae. The record is from RNAcentral.